Molecule: ribosomal RNA, 511 nt
Filed under: uncultured bacterium
Lineage: Bacteria
Description: bacterial SSU rRNA
Rfam family: Bacterial small subunit ribosomal RNA
Source: RNAcentral
UUUAGAGUUUGAUCCCUGGCUCAGAACGAACGCUGGCGGCAUGCCUAACACAUGCAAGUCGAACGAGAAAGUCCUUCGGGAUGAGUAGAGUGGCGCACGGGUGAGUAACACGUAGGUGACCUGCCUUUUGGAGGGGGAUAACCAGAAGAAAUUCUGGCUAAUACCGCAUAAGUACAACGAACUUGAAAAUAGUUGUAGAAAGGAUGCCUCUGCUUGCAAGCAUUCACCGAAAGAUGGGCCUGCGGGACAUUAGCUUGAUGGUGGGGUAAUGGCCUACCAUGGCGACGAUGUCUAACUGGUCUGAGAGGAUGAUCAGUCACACUGGAACUGAGACACGGUCCAGACUCCCACGGGAGGCAGCAGUGGGGAAUAUUGCGCAAUGGGGGAAACCCUGACACAGCAAUGCCGCGUGAGUGAGGAAGGCCUUCGGGUUGUAAAGCUCUGUCAAAUGGGAAGAACGGCGUAGAGUCGAAUAGGCUUUGCGUUUGACGGACCAUAAAGAAGCACCGCA